Molecule: long non-coding RNA, 3338 nt
Filed under: Salvia miltiorrhiza (redroot sage)
Lineage: Eukaryota; Viridiplantae; Streptophyta; Magnoliopsida; Lamiales; Lamiaceae
Description: long non-coding RNA (SMIL_LNC005486)
Source: RNAcentral
AUGAAUUUCUAUUCUUAACUCCAUUAAAUUUGGGAUAUUAUUGCAGAAACAAGCGGAUGUGAACUCGUUGCUUUUGUUGUUGGGAUUGCUGUGCCAUCUACUACCGUUGAUGUUCACAUUUGUGGGAAAAACACCUGAGAUUGCAGCAGUUGGGACGCUUCAAUUGUCGAGAGCAAGUUGCUUUAUUAUGCUCCUUGCAUAUAUCGCUUAUCUCGUCUUUCAGUUAUGGACUCACCGAGAAUUAUUUGAGGCACAAGAGGUUAGUAAUAUAAUUCUUUUCUUUUAAAAUAAAUAAAUUCGAAUUUAACCUAAAGUGUUUAUAUAAUGUGUGUGCAAGAUUGAGUAAAAGAAGAAAUAGGUAGAUAUAUACAGGGAGUUAGCCUGUCCUAUUCAAAUGUGCAAAAAUCAAACUAUUUUAGCUAGAUCAGAAAUAAUUAUAAGAAGCAUACAUCGCUUAAUUAGAAUUAUUUACUUACCUAAAGAUUAGAAAAUGAUGCCAAUGAAGCUUAACUCAAGCAGCAAAGUUGAGGUAAUUUUUCCACACAAGUGGUCCCGCCUACGUGCGGGUAGUAUUCCCACCUACUUUUGUGUGGUGCAGAUGUCCCAAAAUAUAAUGCAAUUUCUUAAUUGAAGUUGUAUUUAAAUAUUUAAUACUAAAAUAACCUUACUCAUUAUUUGUGAAAUAAUUUGUAGAAUAGUAAAUAAGGGUAAACCAGAAUAAUUAUAUAAUAAAUUUUAUCAUUUUCUAAAUUUUUGUGAAAAUUGAAGGGAGACUAAUUUCAUGGGACAUAGGAGAAUCUUAUAUACAGGUGUCUUUCGUGGUCCUUCUAAUUUUGUGGAUUUAAACUAAUAUUUCUUUCCAAUAAAAUGCAUCAUUAUUAUUGAGGACACCAAAAUAUUUGAACUUAAUCUAACUAACGUAGUUAAUUAAUGAAGGCAAAAUUCAUUGCAUUUAUAUGUAAUUCGUGAUCGUGAAGAAAUUAAUACUAUACCUUUGUCGCAAAAACUAAAUUAAUGCUUGCUUAAUUAACAUUUUCUUUGUAUUCAUUAUAAAAUUUGUAACACAAAUUUCGUGUAUUGAAAAAAUAUCUUGUGUAUGAUGCUAGGACGAAGAUGGUGACGUGGCAGGAGACGACGAAACUCCGGUCAUCGGAUUCUGGAGCGCAUUCAUUUGGCUAGUUCUGAUGACCGGCGUCGUAGCUCUACUCUCAGAAUAUGUUGUUGCAACAAUUGAAGUGAGUUAAUUUAUACCAAUUAAUUCAUCAAAUUAAAAUAUACUUUACGAAAUUGCAAAUCCUCAAUAAUUACAUAUAUUUGUUGGAUUAAUUCCAGGCUGCAUCUGAGUCUUGGGGUUUGUCCGUGAGCUUUAUUAGUGUGAUUCUACUACCAAUAGUUGGAAAUGCAGCAGAACAUGCUGGAGCAAUUAUUUUUGCUUUCAAGAACAAAUUGGUAAUUAGUUGUUAAUUAAUUAAUUUUAUUUUUACCUCUUUUCGAUAGGUUUUAUUUUUCGAUUACACGAUUAUUAUAUUGUCUGACAUCUCAUGUAUUUUCUCGAAUAAUUAGGACAUAACUCUAGGUGUCGCCCUAGGAUCGGCCACUCAAAUUGCCAUGUUCGUGGUAAGAUUAUCGAUAUUCAAUUAAAUUCCAUUUACAUAUAGUUAGUAGUGAUGAUUAAUUUUUAUUUAUUUUGUAUUCCAUAAUUACUUCAAAGCUCUUAAUAUUAUUUUUCUUGAAAACUAUUCAGGUCCCAUUAACUGUGCUUGUGUCAUGGAUAAUCGGCAUCGACAUGGAUCUUAAUUUUAACCUACUUGAGACAGGCUCUCUAGCGUUGUCAAUUUUAUUAACAGCUAUAACUUUGCAGGUAAAAUAAUUAAAUUAAUUUAAAUUUCAAAUACAUUAUAUGUAUAUACACACACAUAACAAAUUCUUGAAAUUUGCAGGAUGGAACAUCUCAUUAUAUGAAGGGACUAGUUCUUCUACUAAGCUACUUCAUCAUUUCAGCUUGCUUCUUUGUAUAUCAAUCUCCACUUAGUAAGAACAAAACUCUAAUUAAUUUAUUUCAUUAAAUUUACAGCCAAUUAAUGGCCAUGAAAACUUAAUUAAUUGUAAUAUUUAUCUUUUUAUUUCAGAUGGAGCUGACUCUAACAACAUGGGGCUCGUCACCUCUCCUGAACAAGGAAUAAUGAGACUUUGAAUUAUAGGUAUGUAUAUAUAGUUAGUGAUAAGUACAUNGGUUGUCUUUCUAGUCAAAUCCAAACAUUUUUUAUUAUUUUUAUUGGAUGAUAUUCUCUUAAGAAACAUAUCAAGGCUUCUGCCUAACUGGUUCUAGAGCCACGAUGCAAUAUACCCUCUGAAUUAGGCAAUUAAUAUUUUAUUUUAUUCUUUUGAAAUCAAUGAGGCAGUACUUUAACUAAAUUAUGAAAUCUCUGAAUUUGGAAUGAUAUCUUGUUAAGAAAAUACUAUAAAAUGUUUUAACUUACGUGUCAGGCAUUCCAUUCACGUAUCGAGUUGGUCUACUCAUUAAUUAAGUUAACCAAAUCAUGCCUCUACGUAGAGCCAAUUGAUUUACAUGAGGAUAAUAAUUUCCUAAUCCGAGCAUUAAAAAAAAUACAAUUAUUAGUACGUAUUUUUUAGUGUAAUUGUUUGGAAUAUUUUGAAUAUAAUUAAAAAAAACAUUCACAAAUUCUUCUUAACGGACAUGGUUUAAUCACUUUACUUCACCAUAAUAUUUUGAUUCUCUCUUUUGCUCCCCUUAAACAUCGCAUCAAAUAAAAUAAAAUUACAAAGAUAAUUUCAAAUAACAAUUUAUUUUAUGGAUAUUUUUUUUCAGUUGGAGGGCUCCUAAACGCUACAUGUGGAAAUGCCACAGAAUUGAUAAUAGCAAUUCUUGCACUUGUCCAAAACAAAGUUGAUGUUGUGAAGUACUCUUUAUUGGGCUCUAUCCUCUCCAACCUUCUUCUAGUUCUUGGCACCUCUCUUCUUUGUGGAGGCAUUGUCAACAUCUCCAAAGAGCAAAAAUUCGACAGAGUAAGUAAUUUAACAUAAUUAAAAAAUAAAAAAUUAAUGAAUUUAUAUUCUUAAUUUCCAUUAAAUUUGGGAUAUUAUUGCAGAAACAAGCGGAUGUGAACUCGUUGCUUUUGUUGUUGGGAUUGUUGUGCCAUCUACUACCGCUGAUGUUCACAUUUGUGGGAAAAACACCUGAGAUUGCAGCAGUUGGGACGCUUCAAUUGUCGAGAGCAAGUUGCUUUAUUAUGCUCCUUGCAUAUAUCGCUUAUCUCGUCUUUCAGUUAUGGACUCACCGAGAAUUAUUUGAGGCACAAGAGGUUAGUAAUAUAAUU